Molecule: transfer RNA, 61 nt
Filed under: Goeldia sp. DPP-2018
Lineage: Eukaryota; Metazoa; Arthropoda; Arachnida; Araneae; Titanoecidae
Description: tRNA-Gly
Source: RNAcentral
AGAUAAUUAGUAUACGGUAUAUCUGAUUUCCAAUUAGAAGGAGGAAAAAUUUUUAUUAUUA